CAGGCUUAACACAUGCAAGUCGAACGGUAGCAGGAGAAAGCUUGCUUUCUUGCUGACGAGUGGCGGACGGGUGAGUAAUGCUUGGGAAUCUGGCUUAUGGAGGGGGAUAACGACGGGAAACUGUCGCUAAUACCGCGUAAUAUCGAAAGAUUAAAGUGUGGGACCUUCGGGCCACAUGCCAUAGGAUGAGCCCAAGUGGGAUUAGGUAGUUGGUGGGGUAAAGGCCUACCCAAGCCUGCGAUCUCUAGCUGGUCUGAGAGGAUGACCAGCCACACUGGAACUGAGACACGGUCCAGACUCCUACGGGAGGCA
RNAcentral lists this ribosomal RNA (312 nucleotides) under Haemophilus influenzae. RNAcentral's name for it is "bacterial SSU rRNA". It matches the Rfam family "Bacterial small subunit ribosomal RNA", at positions 43 to 350 of the family's 1533-position model. The record is from RNAcentral. Lineage: Bacteria; Pseudomonadati; Pseudomonadota; Gammaproteobacteria; Pasteurellales; Pasteurellaceae.